UGCGCAGGCGGGCUUGUAAGUCAGUCGUGAAAUACUGCCGCUUAACGGUAGAACUGCCAUUGAUACUGCGAGUCUUGAAUAUGGUUGAGGUAGGCGGAAUGUGUUGUGUAGCGGUGAAAUGCAUAGAUAUGACACAGAACGCCGAUUGCGAAGGCAGCUUACUAAGCCAUUAUUGACGCUGAGGCACGAAAGCGUGGGGAGCGAACAGGAUUAGAUACCCUGGUAGUCC
RNAcentral lists this ribosomal RNA (229 nucleotides) under uncultured bacterium. Its description in RNAcentral is "partial 16S ribosomal RNA". It matches the Rfam family "Bacterial small subunit ribosomal RNA", at positions 568 to 796 of the family's 1533-position model. The record is from RNAcentral.